Long non-coding RNA from Maniola jurtina (meadow brown), 530 nucleotides. RefSeq lists it as uncharacterized. The record is from RefSeq and is a predicted model, not a curated record. The transcript is spliced from 4 exons. Lineage: Eukaryota; Metazoa; Arthropoda; Insecta; Lepidoptera; Nymphalidae.
CAGGAGCGGCCGGCGACGCGGCCCGCCGUCACUCUCAGUACCCAAACGACGACGCCGCAUACCGCAUCGCGGAACCGUCUUUGACUCUUCACAUCACCACUAAACCGCCAAACACUCCCAAGAAGUCCCUAAACCCACGCCUAUAAAACUCGGGCUCCGAUAGUCCCGUCACAACGACCGGAGACGUGUGUUAAACAUCCGCGAGCAAACGGAAUUCCCGUGACCACCAUGUGCAUUCAAGACAGGAAGACCGGCUCCAGUUAUGCAAUCUGACAUUUCGCCGGAAAACACAAUGUAUCUACGCAGCUGAAAAAAAUCUUACGACAAGAUGAUCCAGCCAACACGACGGGUUACACGGAGGCAUAAGCCGCGUCGAAGCAUGAAGAAAGAACACCACGAAAUCAGCUGCAGACAGAAUAAAAGCACAAUGAAAUAACACCUGUCAUCUAAUAGAACAAUCCAUACUAAAAGUUUUCUACCGCGGCGUCUCAAGCAUACCUUCCUACGUACCUACUUCACAAGGGAGCCUU